UACGGGGGGGGCAAGCGUUGUUCGGAAUUACCGGGCGUAAAGGGCUCGUAGGCGGCCAACUAAGUCGGACGUGAAAUCCCUCGGCUCAACCGAGGAACUGCGUCUGAUACUGGAUGGCUUGAAUUCGGGAGAGGGAUGCAGAAUUCCAGGUGUAGCGGUGAAAUGCGUAGAUAUCUGGAGGAAUACCGGUGGCGAAGGCGGCAUCCUGGACCGACAUUGACGCUGAUGAGCGAAAGCCAGGGGAGCAAACGGG
RNAcentral lists this ribosomal RNA (253 nucleotides) under uncultured bacterium. RNAcentral describes it as "partial 16S ribosomal RNA". It matches the Rfam family "Bacterial small subunit ribosomal RNA", at positions 524 to 776 of the family's 1533-position model. The record is from RNAcentral.